Molecule: ribosomal RNA, 440 nt
Filed under: uncultured bacterium
Lineage: Bacteria
Description: partial 16S ribosomal RNA
Rfam family: Bacterial small subunit ribosomal RNA
Source: RNAcentral
CCUACGGGAGGCAGCAGUGGGGAAUAUUGCACAAUGGGGGAAACCCUGAUGCAGCGACGCCGCGUGAGUGAAGAAGUAUCUCGGUACGUAAAGCUCUAUCAGCAGGAAAGAAAAUGACGGUACCUGACUCAGAAGCCCCGGCUAACUACGUGCCAGCAGCCGCGGUAAUACGUAGGGGGCAAGCGUUAUCCGGAUGUACUGGGUGUAAAGGGGGCGUAGACGGCGAUGCAAGUCUGAAGUGAAAGGCGGGGGCCCAACCCCCGGACUGCUUUGGAAACUGUAUGGCUGGAGUGCAGGAGAGGUAAGUGGAAUUCCUAGUGUAGCGGUGAAAUGCGUAGAUAUUAGGAGGAACACCAGUGGCGAAGGCGGCUUACUGGACUGUAACUGACGUUGAGGCUCGAAAGCGUGGGGAGCAAACAGGAUUAGAUACCCGAGUAGUC